Molecule: RNA transcript, 4454 nt
Organism: Sapajus apella (tufted capuchin)
Lineage: Eukaryota; Metazoa; Chordata; Mammalia; Primates; Cebidae
Gene name: putative elongation factor 1-alpha-like 3
Exons: 1
Source: RefSeq, a predicted model, not a curated record
UCAUUAUGUCCUAAAAUUCUGGGCAUGGACGAAAUCUAGCCUUUGUCACAGGUUCUACCUCAGGGAUUUUGGUGCCAGUAUACCUUGUGAUAGAAUUGGGUUGUGGGCAGCUAUUUGGUUUUCUCCCUUUACCCACUUACUAAGUUUUUUCUCCAGCAUUUGGAACUACAUAAAUACAUAUCGAUAUCCAGGUAAGAUCUAGUUAGUAAAGUCAACCAGUGUUUCACAGCAGGCACUGCAGAUUUUUGUUUUUAUAAUUGAAUGUGCAGAAUAUGUCACUUAACAUUCCAGUUGGCCACUAGGGGGCACUGUGGACUACUUUUUGUGCAGGUGCGGGUUUCUUACACAGCCAAAUUAAACCCCUAGGAAUAAUGCCCUCGGCUGGAUUAGGAGCUGGAGUAAAUGCAGCUUAGCAGGGGCAAGAGGAGACACAGAGGCCUGAUUUGCUGCUGCUGCUGCUGCUGCUGCUGCUAGGUUUUCCUGGGUUUAUCACUCCCUCCACACCAUGUGCUUCUACAUCAGGCUUCUGGUCUCGUUGCACCCCACCUGCUGCAGAAGAACAGAUCCCUGGCCUCAAACAGAUAGGAGAUGAGUGUCAGAUUGAGGUUGAGGGCAGGAGUCAGCCUUGGCACAGAGAGCAGGACAGGAGCUGAUAGAGAAAGAUAAAGGCGGAAAGGGAGUGGCUCACAAACCUGAAGCUACAGAGUCCAGACAGCUGCCUUUGGCAGUUGCUGUCUUAACCAUCGAUCUGUGCUCAGCUGUUAAGGCCAUUUGUCUUUACCAACCAUGGCCAAUAAUCAUAGUGUAUUCUGUCUUCUAGUCCAGGUUUAAAGUCCUUGGCAGGUAUGUGGAAGAGUGGAGAAAAAUCUUUAUGAAAUGAGACCAGGUUCAAUGAAAUAAAUGCAUCAGAUAUUCAGAGGAGAUUGCUAAUGUGAUAUUCCCUUCUUAGUAAUAUUUAGACUGAAGAUCACAAAGUAAUUGCAAAGGAGACUACUUUCUUACAGUGCAGCAUGGCUUUCAGUUUUAGUACUGAGGAAAUAAUGCUCCAAUUUGCGUAAUGCUGGUUGGUCAGUGUUUCUUAGGGGAAUUCCAAACUGUCACUUCAAAACCGAAUGUUCUAUGAAUUUUCAAUGGAGAAGACAGUUAUGAUUUAAUUAUGAUUCCUUUUGGAAUUAAGAGGGGUGCAAAUCAACGUGAAUUUUUAAGUUUUUUCGUUAAUAUUUAUUGUAAGACAUUUGCAUAGGAAAUGUGGAGAAUGGAGUUUGAAACAUAACCUCACCAACCAGCAUGGCUGCUAAUAGUUUGGGUGUGUUUUCAUGGGAGCAAUGUUUAAACAUAGUCAAGAUCAUCCUGUUUACUGAUGUGUAUCAUGCUGCUUUCAGUUUAUCAUAAACAACUGUGUUCCUAGAAACCAUUCACAAGGAUGGCUGAGAAUGGCUGCAGAAUAUUUCAUCAGAUCAAUAUAAGCAGGCCACCAAAUAAUGGUCUGUAUUGGGACUCUGUUGCUAGUGACAAGAAACCCAAGUCAAAGUCAUUUAAGCAAAAAGAAUUACUCAGAACUCAGCCUUCGUUUCCUGGCUCCUCUUUCUGCCAUGUUGGUUUUGAUUGCAGCUAGCAAUCUUAUAGCAAAGAGGUUAUGUCCUUCCUAUCUGGGACCUAGCUGUUCCCGAAUAAUCACUGUGUCUGGAAAUGGGGUGCGCUCUUUGGCCAAACCUGAGUCAUGUGUCUUCUCGUGGAGUUGUGUGUUCACUCAGCACCAUCAGAAUCACAGAGACUGGGGGGAUGUAGAAGGGGUCUCCUGCAAGAAAAGAGUGAUCAUGUGAACUAAAGGAACACUGAGCAGGCAAAAACCAAAGGCUACUAGCAUUUUCUCCAGUUUUUGAACACUUAGGUUGCUUUCAGUUUUUUCCUGUUAUUUAAGUGCAUAAAAUACGUUCUACAUUUUUGUUUAUUUCCUUAGAUUCCCAGCAGUGGAAUUCCCAAGCCAAAAGCUUUUGGUACAUGUUAUUAAUUGCUUUUAAGAAUGUAUAUCACUUUUUCACAACGGGUUUGCCGCCAGAACACAGGUGUCAUGAAAACUACCCCUAAAUGCCAAAAUGGGAAAGGCAAAGUCUCAUAUCAACAUUGUCAUCAUUGGACACGUAGAUUUGGGCAAGUCUGCCAUUACUGGCCAUCUAAUCUACAAAUGUGAUGGCAUCGACAAAAGAACCAUUGAAAAAUUUGAGAAGGAAGCUGCUGAGAUGGGAAAGCGCUCCUUCAAGUAUGCCUGGGUCUUGGAUAAACUGAAAGCUGAGCGUGAACAUGGGAUCACCAUUGUUACCUCCUUGUAGAAAUUUAAGACCAGCAGGUACUACAUGACUAUCAUUGAUGCCCCAGGACACAGAGACUUCAUCAAAAACAUGAUUACAGGGACAUCUCAGGCUGACCGUGCUGUCCUGAUUGUUGCGGCUGAUGUUGGUGAAUUCGAAGCUGGUAUCUCCUAGAAUGGGCAGACCCAAGAGCAUGCCCUUCUGGCUUACAUCCUGGGCACGAAACGAUUGUUGGUGUUAACAAAACGGACUCCACUGAGCCACCUGACAGCCAGAAGAGAUACGAGGAAAUCGUUAAGGAAGUCAGCACUUACAUUAAGAAAAUUGGCUACAACCCCGACACAGGAGCAUUCAUGCCAAUUUCUGGUUGGAAUGGUGACAGCAUGCUGGAGCCAAGUGCUAACAUGCCUUGGUCCAAGGGUUGGAAAGUCACCCAUAAGGAUGGCAAUGCCAGUGGAACCUGCUGCUUGAGGCUCUGGACUGCAUCCUACCACCAACUCAUCGAACUGACAAGCCCUUGCGCCUGCCUCUCCAGGAUGUCUAUAAAAUUGGUGGCAUUGGUACUGUUCCUGUUGGCCGAGUGGAGACUGGUGUUCUCAAACCUGGUAUGGUGGUCACCUUUGCUCCGGUCAACGUUACAACUGAAGUAAAAUCUGUCAAAAUACACCAUGAAGCUUUGAGUGAAGCUCUUCCUGGGGACAAUGUGGGCUUCAAUGUCAAGAAUGUGUCUGUCACGGAUGUUCGUUGUGGCAACGUUGCUGGUGACAGCCAGAACGACCCACCAAUGGAAGCAGGCGUCACCGCUCAGGUGGCAAUCCUGAACCAUCCAGGCCAGAUCAGCGCUGGCUAUGCCCCUGUACUGGAGGGCCACAUGGCUCACACUGCCUGCAAGUUUGCUGAGCUGAAGAAAAAGAUUGAUCGCUCUUCUGGUAAAAGGCUGGAAGAUGGUCCUAAAUUAUUGAAGUCCGGUGAUGGUGCCAUCAUUGAUAUGGUUCCUGGCAAGCCCAUACGUGUUGAGAGCUUCUCAGACUGUCCAGCUCUGUGUCACUUUGCUGUUCGUGAUAUGAGACAGACAGUUGCGGUGGGUGUCCUCAAGCAGUGCACAAGAAGGCUGCAGGACUUGGCAAGGUCACCAAGUCUGCCCGGAAAGCUCAGAAGGCUAAAUGAAUAUUAUCCCUAAUACCUGCCACCUCAGUCUUAAUCAGUGGUGGAGGAAGAACGGUCUCAGAACUGUGUUUCAAUUGGCCAUUUAAAUUUAGUAGUAAAAGACUGGUUAAUGAUAACAAUGCAUCGUAAAACCUUCAGAAGGAAAGGAGAAUGUUUUGUGGACCACUUUGGUUUUCUUUUUUGCUUGUGGCAGUUUUAAGUUAUUAGUUUUUAAAAUCAGUACUUUUUAAUGGGAACAACUUGACCAAAAAUUUGUCACAGGAUUUUGAGGCCCAUUGAAGUUUAAUGAGAAAAAAAAAAGUGUAUAUCAAUUAUAAUGCCUAGUAUUUGUUUUAACACAUUCCAGUGAAGAAAAAAGUAUAAGAGAUUAGAUAAGAAAUGGUAACAGUUGAAGGUAGGUGAUGUGUCUGGAGAUUAAUUUUGUUAUUCUCUUUUGUGUAUGUCUGAAAAUUGUAUAAAGAUUUCUAAAUUGAAUUGGAAAAAAAAAUGAAGAAUUGGAGAUCUAGAGAGAUUAAGUGACUUUCCCAAGCCCACCCAGUUCUGGUCUUCAGGCUCUGAAUCCUGGCCACUUCUUUUACUCCACACCAAAUUGGCCUGUGGUCAUAUUGUUUGAGACACAGAUUAUUCCAGCGUAAGGCUUCCUGGUGCUUCUUUACCCUCCUCAUGCCAAGGCAGGAAUGUAGAGCUAACCUGUUUGUGGGUGGGGAGGGGCAUGAGCAGUGGGUGCUAGGAGGCUAGACAGCAAGAUUGACUUGGUGAUUUAGGAGUUCACUAGAGAUUUCUUGAAAUGAUGUUUUCAGUAAAAUUUUGGAAAAUAUAAUAAUGGGGGAGGGGGAAAACUGAUACCAGUUAACAGCCCUGCAAGCACUGUAUGGAAGUGCUCACUCGGUGAUGGAUUAAAAUAGGGUGUUAUUUUAAUUGGCAAUUCUUGAGGUUACUAAUAACAUUAAACAUUAAAAUUUCUUUUUGCUUAUUUUU